CACCAAGAGACCCUCCAAUUUCCACUCCUUCACCUUUCCUCUUCCACCAUCAAUUCUCCCACCCAAGAGUCACACAAAUUAUUACUUUAGCCCUUCAAUCUCUUCCUCACAUUACACUACACCAAAGAAAAAAAAAAAAGAGAGUGAGAGAGAGACGAAGAGAGAGCCGAGAGAGAGCAAGAGGAGGAAAUUCCCACCAUUCUUGUCCAUCCACCACCAAGUCCAACCAUUCUUGAGAUGGUUCGCACGGCCGCUAAAGACGGAACGAGAAGCUACUUAAGGAAAACUCUAAGCUUUUGAGGAUAAUGUCCUACUAGACCUUGAUGGUUAACGAAUUCGG
This is a long non-coding RNA of Salvia splendens (bonfire salvia), 340 nucleotides long. RefSeq lists it as uncharacterized. The transcript is spliced from 3 exons. NCBI's taxonomy places the organism in Eukaryota, Viridiplantae, Streptophyta, Magnoliopsida, Lamiales, Lamiaceae. The record is from RefSeq and is a predicted model, not a curated record.